Molecule: ribosomal RNA, 450 nt
Filed under: uncultured bacterium
Lineage: Bacteria
Description: partial 16S ribosomal RNA
Rfam family: Bacterial small subunit ribosomal RNA
Source: RNAcentral
GUGGGGAAUUUUGGACAAUGGGCGCAAGCCUGAUCCAGCAAUGCCGCGUGCAGGAAGAAGGCCUUCGGGUUGUAAACUGCUUUUGUACGGAACGAAACGGUCCGGGUUAAUACCCUGGGCUAAUGACGGUACCGUAAGAAUAAGCACCGGCUAACUACGUGCCAGCAGCCGCGGUAAUACGUAGGGUGCAAGCGUUAAUCGGAAUUACUGGGCGUAAAGCGUGCGCAGGCGGUUUUGUAAGACAGGCGUGAAAUCCCCGGGCUCAACCUGGGAAUUGGGCUUGGGACUGCAAGGCUGGAGUGCGGCAGGGGGGGAUGGAAUUCCGCGUGUAGCAGUGAAAUGCGUAGAUAUGCGGAGGAACACCGAUGGCGAAGGCAAUCCCCUGGGCCUGCACUGACGCUCAUGCACGAAAGCGUGGGGAGCAAACAGGAUUAGAAACCCCUGUAGUCC